RNAcentral lists this ribosomal RNA (375 nucleotides) under uncultured bacterium. RNAcentral describes it as "bacterial SSU rRNA". It matches the Rfam family "Bacterial small subunit ribosomal RNA", at positions 29 to 429 of the family's 1533-position model. The record is from RNAcentral.
AACGAACGCUGGCGGCAGGCUUAACACAUGCAAGUCGAACGGGUGUAGCAAUACAUCAGUGGCAGACGGGUGAGUAACACGUGGGAACCUUCCUAGGGGUACGGAACAACUCAGGGAAACUUGAGCUAAUACCGUAUACGUCCGUAAGGAGAAAGAUUCAUCGCCCCUAGACGGGCCCGCGUCGGAUUAGGUAGUUGGUGGGGUAACGGCCUACCAAGCCUACGAUCCGUAGCUGAUCUGAGAGGAUGAUCAGCCACACUGGGACUGAGACACGGCCCAGACUCCUACGGGAGGCAGCAGUGGGGAAUCUUGGACAAUGGGCGCAAGCCUGAUCCAGCCAUGCCGCGUGAGUGAAGAAGGCCUUAGGGUUGUAAA